CCGCAGGGUGCAAUUGAGUGGCGUGAAUCACCGGAGACCACAGCGGCGUCCUGGCCAUGAUGGAUGUCGGUCUUUAGCGAUUGAGUUGGCUUGCGGCGGAAUGGGAUAAGUUAGACUCUGUGUGCGCACAUGAAGAAGAAAAAUAAAUAAAUAAAUAAGUAAAAUAGAAGCCCAGUUACCUCCCCUCUCACUCCCUCUCUUUCUUUUCCUUUUCCUUCACUUCUCGCACUUGAUUCUCUCCUUCUCUAUCUCUCUCUCCGAUUCCAAUCAUCUUCGCCUAACUUCUUCACCUCUGUCUAACGACUUCUAAUUUUCCCUCCAUUUUGCAUUUGCUUCGCUAAUUUUUGUUCCCUCUCAUUGAAUUCACUCGUUUCGCUUCUCUUGGUUGUUUGCCAUCGUAUUUCUCAAUCGAUUGGAUUUUAUUUUUCUUCUUUUGUUUAUGAUAUGUUACAAAUAAUGACAAUAAUUUAAAUUCAGACGGUUUGAGGCCGCUUAGGGUUUUUGUUUCUGUUAAGCUGAUCGUUGAAGAUGCUUCCAUGGGGUGGAAUUAGUUGCUGUUUGAGUGCUGCUGCGCUCUAUUUGCUUGGCAGGAGCAGUGGCAGGGAUGCAGAGGUUCUUAAAUCGGUCGCAAGAGUCAAUCAGCUGAAGGAAUUGGCAAAAUUACUUGAUAUUGAAAGCAAAGUCUUACCUUUGGUUGUUGCUAUCUCUGGAAGAGUUGGCUCAGAGACUCCAAUUAAUUGCGAGUAUAGUGGCUUGAGAGGUGUUAUAGUAGAGGAGACGGCUGAACAACACUUCCUCAAGCACAACGAUUCUGGAUCUUGGAUUCAAGAUUCAGCCUUAAUGCUAUCAAUGAGUAAAGAAGUCCCAUGGUACCUGGAUGACGGGACUGAUCGAGUAUAUGUUGUGGGGGCCCGAGGUGCCUCUGGGUUUGUGUUAACUGUUGGAAGUGAAAUUUUUGAAGAGUCAGGACGAUCACUUGUACGUGGAACAUUAGACUAUCUCCAAGGCCUCAAGAUGCUUGGUGUGAAGCGUAUCGAAAGGGUACUUCCAACUGGUACUUCAUUGACUGUGGUUGGUGAGGCCGUCAAGGAUGAUGUUGGAACUGUUCGGGUCCAGCGUCCCCACAAAGGGCCAUUUUACGUAUCUCCUAGGACUAUUGAUGAGCUCAUUGGGAAUUUGGGAAAGUGGGCAAGGUGGUAUAGAUAUGCCUCAGUCGGCUUGACAGUUUUUGGCGUUUUUCUGAUUGCCAAGCAUGCUAUACAGUAUAUCAUGGAGAGAAGGCGCCGUUGGGAACUGCAGAGCAGGGUUCUUGCUGCUGCUGCUAAGAGACAAGAUCAAGAUUCUGAAGGUUCAAAUGGAAAAGCUGAGAAUGGAUCAGACAAUUCUAAGAGGGAACGUCCAAUUCCAGAUCUAUGUGUAAUAUGCCUUGAGCAGGAGUAUAAUGCCGUUUUUCUCCCGUGUGGCCAUAUGUGCUGUUGUACGACAUGCUCUUCACAUCUGACAAACUGUCCUCUAUGCCGGAGACGGAUAGAGCAGGUAGUGAAGACUUUCCGGCAUUGAGGAUUUGUUUCCAAGAUUUAGCAAGUGUCCCAGGUGAAGGCAAUUGUAACAAGGAGCUGAUUUUCCUGCACAUACAAGAUUUUGGUGUAAAAUCCUUUUAAUCAUGGUAAUAACUUCAUCUAUAUUUAUAGAUUAUUUCCCACCCAGUCAGUGUCCUGCUGUCAUUGCCUAUUGGGUUGAGAAAUAUUUUCUCCUGUGAAGAUUCUCAACUAAGUUGCCUUGUAGGCUUUGACAACAAUCAUCUUUUAAAACUUUAGAUGAUUUGCAGUCAGGCAUGCAUGUAAUAUGAUGUUAUUCUUAGGUACAUUAUUUGGCAUCUUUAGGGGUUGAAGCUGAAAUGAAAGGAUUUAUUUGUUUUCAUUACUGUUGCUGCCUUUUAUUUCAAUGCUUGUAAGCAUCCGGCUUUUAGAAAUGCAAAUCUUUUGAAAUUGUUAACUCUGCCACCACUAUUAAUGCAGUGAACGAAUAUUGCCAAUCUAAUGAUAUGCCUUGAAGAGACGAUAUGCAUCUUUAGGCAUAGUCUAUAGCUUAGUCCUCAAAAAUGGACAGAAACACGAGUGAAUGAGCGCACGUUUUUGCCUGAAGCAUGGAUAUGUUUCAGCUCUACCAAUGUGCUUGAAGAAUGCAUAUUGUAAAAAGCAGCCCCCUUCCCUCUCAUUGUGAUUUUAG
This 2229-nucleotide unclassified non-coding RNA is filed under the name Hevea brasiliensis (rubber tree). Lineage: Eukaryota; Viridiplantae; Streptophyta; Magnoliopsida; Malpighiales; Euphorbiaceae. The record is from RNAcentral.